Molecule: small nuclear RNA, 92 nt
Filed under: Peromyscus maniculatus bairdii (prairie deer mouse)
Lineage: Eukaryota; Metazoa; Chordata; Mammalia; Rodentia; Cricetidae
Source: RNAcentral
GUGUUUGCUUUGGCAGCAUUUAUACUAAAACUGGGACAAUACAGAGAAUAUUAGCAUGGCACAUGCAAAGUCACAAAGCAUUUCAUAUUACA